Mauremys reevesii (Reeves's turtle) is the source of this 191-nucleotide small nuclear RNA. RefSeq annotates it as U2 spliceosomal RNA. NCBI's taxonomy places the organism in Eukaryota, Metazoa, Chordata, Testudines, Geoemydidae. The transcript has a single exon. The record is from RefSeq and is a predicted model, not a curated record.
AUCGCUUCUUGGCCUUUUGGCUAAGAUCAAGCGUAGUGUCUGUUCUUAUCAGUUUAAUAUCUGAUAAGUCCUUUAUUUGAGGACUGUAUAUUAAAUUGAUUUUUGAAACAAGGGGAUGGAAUAGGAGCUUGCUCUCACCACCCCAUGCAUUGACCUGGUAUUGCACUAUUUCCAGGACCAGUGCCUCUCCU